This 1157-nucleotide long non-coding RNA is filed under the name Macaca mulatta (Rhesus monkey). Its description in RNAcentral is "lncRNA (ENSMMUG00000052471.1)". The record is from RNAcentral. Lineage: Eukaryota; Metazoa; Chordata; Mammalia; Primates; Cercopithecidae.
UACAUGGGCUGCAUCGAGGUCCUCCGCUCCAUGCGCUCCCUGGACUUUAACACACGCACGCAGGUGACCAGGGAAAGCCAUCAACCGGCUCCACGAGGCCGUGCCUGGCGUCCGGGGAUCCUGGAAGAAAAAGGCCCCCAACAAGGCCCUGGCGUCUGUCCUGGGCAAGAGCAACCUUCGCUUCGCCGGCAUGAGCAUCUCCAUCCACAUCUCCACCGACGGCCUUCAGCCUCUCCGUGCCCGCCACGCGCCAGGUCAUCGCCAACCACCACAUGCCGUCCAUCUCCUUUGCAUCGGGCGGAGACACGGACAUGACGGAUUACGUGGCCUACGUCGCCAAGGACCCCAUCAACCAGAGAGCCUGCCACAUCCUGGAGUGCUGUGAAGGCCUGGCCCAGAGCGUCAUCAGCACCGUCGGCCAAGCCUUCGAGCUGCGCUUCAAGCAGUACCUGCACAGCCCACCCAAGGUGGCACUGCCCCCAGAAAGGUAACAGACCCGCCUCCCCCAUGCCCUGGGGACGCCCCCAGCGACCUGCCCGGGUGCAGAGCCGGCUCCACCUCCUGCAGGCCUCGGCCUCCAUCCUGCCCUUGUCCCUCCCUCCCUGUCCCCGAGAAUGUGGCUCGGCCAGAGGAUCCUGUUUCCUCGGCUGUAACACCCGGGUGAACGCAUCCCCGCCCCCAGGACUGGGGAGGACUGAGCGAGCUGACUCCCCGGUGUGCCCGAGGCUGUCAGCCCUGCCGCUAUAACCAACAUCCCUCCUCCAGACGCACGGCCGGCUCAACGGCCUCUGUCUCACCGCAGAAGAUGUGUGUGGGGGGCGUGUCUGUGUGCUGGUAACGUUAUUCAUAGACGUUGAAGUGUGAAUGUCACGUGUCGCAAAAUAUGAUUCUCUGGAUGUUUCUCAAACACUUAACUUUGAUGAUUUAGAGGCUGAACGCCCAUUCUUAGCUCGUGGGACACACAGAUCUAGGCAGUGAGCUGGAUUUGGCCCUGGGCUGGGGUUUGCCAGCCGGCCUUGGAGAAGGAGGCAUUUAAGUCUAUUCAUCAUUAGAAAGUCACGUUCCUCCAGCGGUGGGAGGGCAGGUGCAGGCCCGUGAGCUCCCAGCCCUGCUGGUCACGCGUGCUCACGCUCACCCCUUUGUGCACAGGGACGGCG